UGGUGGUUACCUUAGUUACUUUCAGAACACGGCAUUGAUUGCUAGGAAGUAUUGAUUGCAUGCAUUGGCGAUGGGAGAAGUGUCCUCUUGCAUGGAGGGGGCAAUUCACCCGCGGCGAUUAUGGAGUACCAACGAUGAUCCUAGAAGCCGUUGCUUCCCAGGACCUUCGUAUUUGGCAUGCUUUUCUUGGAGUUGCUGGGUCAAAUAAUGAUCUGAAUGUGCUCAAUCAAUCCCCACUGUUUUUUGAUGCACUGAAAGGAGAAGCCCCUCAAGUCCAAUUUUCUGUCAAUGGGAAUGAGUAUACCACAGGUUACUGCCUUGCUGAUGGUAUAUACCCAGAAUGGGCUGCCUUCAUGAAGACUAUACCACUUCCCCAAAUAGAGAAGCACAAGUUGUUUGCCCAGAAGCAAGAAGGGGCAAGGAAAGAUGUCGAGGGCGCUUUUGGGGUAUUACAGUCCCGUUUUACCAUUGUCCGUCGGCCUGCACGUCUAUGGAAGAGAAAGAGUGUUGGAAGGAUCAUGAGGGCUUGUGUGAUUCUCCAUAAUAUGAUAAUCGAAGAUGAGAGAGAGCAAGCAAAAAUUCAUAUUGACUUGAAUGAGAUUCCGGGGGCUUCAUUUGCUCUACCUCCCGAAGUGAAUGUUGGUGGUAAUCUAUGUUUCGCAGAUGUGUUGCGUAGAAAAGCUACUAUUCGUGCUCGUCCACAGCAUGCCCAACUUAAAAGUGAUUUAGUCGAGCAUAUCUGGCAUAAGUUUCAAAACAGCCAUCAUAAUUAAUCAUGGAGUGAGCUGUGAUGUGGUGAUUGCGGCAGCUGUUACUUAUAGUGGUUGAAGGUUAUUGAUGCAAAUGAGUGGUUGCUCCUUUCCAGCGAAGUACCCUCCAUGCUUUGUGACUUUUGUUAUCGUCCAGAUCAAAACUAUGAUUGUUGCUUGUGGUCGUGAACGGCUUGUUUGCCAGAGAUGUUAUCUAUUAUGUUUGCUGAAUGCUUUCUUAAAGACUUAAGUAAUCUUAAGUAAUUACUCAUGAUGCUAUGGAGUAGUAUGAUGCUGUGUGACAUGUUUGGAGUACUAUGAUGCUGUAUGACAUAUGUUUGUUGCCUAAAUGCCAGUCAGUCUUCCUA
Molecule: non-coding RNA, 1117 nt
Organism: Aegilops tauschii subsp. strangulata
Lineage: Eukaryota; Viridiplantae; Streptophyta; Magnoliopsida; Poales; Poaceae
Source: RefSeq, a predicted model, not a curated record